Molecule: transfer-messenger RNA, 336 nt
Filed under: Sarcina ventriculi
Lineage: Bacteria; Bacillati; Bacillota; Clostridia; Eubacteriales; Clostridiaceae
Also listed under: 2 other names
Rfam family: transfer-messenger RNA
About the family: Bacterial tmRNA, also known as 10Sa RNA or SsrA, is named for its dual tRNA and mRNA-like properties. Its role is to liberate the mRNA from a stalled ribosome.
Source: Rfam by way of RNAcentral
UUUGGCUUCGACGGGGGUAAUGAUGGGUUUGGUAAGCGAGUGGAGGUAAGCAUGUUCCCUCCUAAAUCAAAUAUGCAUUAAAUAUAAACGCAGAUAAUAAUAAUUUUGCAUUAGCAGCUUAAUAUAAGCUACUCAUCCGCCCAGGUUGCCUACGGCUUGGAUUACGGGUGUCAAAUGAGUGGGACACGAAUCUUAGCAAAGCUUUGAGCUAAGGGGGUAUUUAUGAAGCUAGCAAAUUAUGUGCCCGUCUAUAGGCGGCAUAAUGAGCGAAUGUAAUAUGUAGACUACACUCGUAGAAAGUCAGACUGGUCUACUUUCGGACAGGGGUUCGAUUUU